GACGAACGUUGGCGGCGUGCCUAAUACAUGCAAGUCAACUGAAGCAGUGGUAGCAAUCUCGCUGUGGAGGUGGCGCACGGGUGAGUAACACGUAGGUAAUCUGCCUUCAGGUCUGGCAUAACUCCGGGAAACCGGGGCUAAUAGCAGAUGAUGCAGCGGCUCGACAUCGAGACAGUUGUUAAAGCUAUGGCGCCUGAAGAUGAGCCUGCGUCUGAUUAGCUAGUUGGCGGGGUAACGGCCCACCAAGGCAACGAUCAGUAGCUGGUCUGAGAGGAUGAUCAGCCACACUGGAACUGAGACACGGUCCAGACUCCUACGGGAGGCAGCAGUAAGGAAUAUUGCUCAAUGGGAGAAAUCCUGAAGCAGCAACGCCGCGUGAGGGACGAAGGGCUUUUGCUUGUAAACCUCUGUAGGGAGAGAAAAAAAUCCCAAUCUUUGGGACAUGAUGGUACCUCAAAAGUAAGCCCCGGCUAACUACGUG
RNAcentral lists this ribosomal RNA (481 nucleotides) under uncultured bacterium. Its description in RNAcentral is "partial 16S ribosomal RNA". It matches the Rfam family "Bacterial small subunit ribosomal RNA", at positions 28 to 507 of the family's 1533-position model. The record is from RNAcentral.